RNAcentral lists this transfer RNA (72 nucleotides) under Chloroparvula japonica. Its description in RNAcentral is "tRNA-Gln". It matches the Rfam family "tRNA". Rfam says of the family: Transfer RNA (tRNA) molecules are approximately 80 nucleotides in length. Their secondary structure includes four short double-helical elements and three loops (D, anti-codon, and T loops). Lineage: Eukaryota; Viridiplantae; Chlorophyta; Chloropicophyceae; Chloropicales; Chloropicaceae. The record is from RNAcentral.
UGGGGCGUGGCCAAGUGGUAAGGCAUCUGGUUUUGGUCCAGACAUUCGGAGGUUCGAGUCCUUCCGCCCCAG